Molecule: ribosomal RNA, 497 nt
Filed under: uncultured bacterium
Lineage: Bacteria
Description: partial 16S ribosomal RNA
Rfam family: Bacterial small subunit ribosomal RNA
Source: RNAcentral
GAUGAACGCUGGCGGCGUGCCUAAUACAUGCAAGUCGAGCGAACGGACGAGAAGCUUGCUUCUCUGAUGUUAGCGGCGGACGGGUGGGUAACACGUGGAUAACCUACCUAUAAGACUGGGAUAACUUCGGGAAACCGUAGCUAAUACCGGAUAAUAUUUUGAACCGCAUGGUUCAAAAGUGAAAGACGGUCUUGCUGUCACUUAUAGAUGGAUCCGCGCUGCAUUAGCUAGUUGGUAAGGUAACGGCUUACCAAGGCAACGAUGCAUAGCCGACCUGAGAGGGUGAUCGGCCACACUGGAACUGAGACACGGUCCAGACUCCUACGGGAGGCAGCAGUAGGGAAUCUUCCGCAAUGGGCGAAAGCCUGACGGAGCAACGCCGCGUGAGUGAUGAAGGUCUUCGGAUCGUAAAACUCUGUUAUUAGGGAAGAACAUAUGUGUAAGUAACUGUGCACAUCUUGACGGUACCUAAUCAGAAAGCCACGGCUAACUACGUG